GACGAACUGUCCUAACGUUGUUCGGAAUCACUGGGCUUAAAGGGUGCGUAGGCGGGCCCGUCAGUCAGGGGUGAAAUCCCACGGCCCAACCGUGGAAGUGCCUCUGAUACUGCGGGCCUGGAGGGGGAGUAGGGGCGUGCGGAACUUCCGGUGGAGCGGUGAAAUGCGUAGAUAUCGGAAGGAACACCGGUGGCGAAAGCGGCGCGCUGGAUCCCUACUGACGCU
This 225-nucleotide ribosomal RNA is filed under the name uncultured bacterium. RNAcentral's name for it is "partial 16S ribosomal RNA". It matches the Rfam family "Bacterial small subunit ribosomal RNA", at positions 524 to 747 of the family's 1533-position model. The record is from RNAcentral.